This 266-nucleotide long non-coding RNA is filed under the name Populus trichocarpa (black cottonwood). RNAcentral describes it as "long non-coding RNA (PTRI_LNC000059)". Lineage: Eukaryota; Viridiplantae; Streptophyta; Magnoliopsida; Malpighiales; Salicaceae. The record is from RNAcentral.
AUAGCUCUUGGAGAUACAAGUGGUUAUGCUCUGCGAACUUCUAAGGGGCCUUCGGUUUGAUGUACUGAUCAGCUUAUAAGAGACAGAACACUAGGCACAGAUUCAUGAUGUUCCGACUUUCCCUGGCGGUGGCUUACAGUACUGGGCUUGUUUGAAGGUUUAUAUCAAUCCUAUUUUUGCAGGCUAGCAUGAUCAGUUUCUCCAUCCCAUGCCUUUAAGACAAUGGCUUACACUGGGCUUGUUUUUUUUCCAGAACUACUCCUUUU